This 1032-nucleotide long non-coding RNA is filed under the name Strigops habroptila (Kakapo). RNAcentral's name for it is "lncRNA (ENSSHBG00005007351.1)". The record is from RNAcentral. Lineage: Eukaryota; Metazoa; Chordata; Aves; Psittaciformes; Psittacidae.
GGCGCGACCCCCCCUCCCGCCGUCUCCCCCGGUUCCAGUUCUGCGCCUGCGCGGAGCCGUCUCCCCCCCCCCCCCCCCGCAAUGGCGGCUGUGGGGGGCGGGGCCUGCCCGGGGGGCGGGGCCGCGCUGGAGGAGGAGUGCGAGGUGGUGCGCGUGCGCGUCAAGAAGAGCGAGGGGCUGCAGCCGCCCGAGUUCCGCUCCUUCGCCGUGGACCCGCAGAUCACAUCCCUGGACGUGCUGCAGCACAUCCUGGCCCGCGCCUUUGACCUGCAGGGGAAGAAGAGCUUCUCCAUCAGCUUUGCCGCCCGCGACCCCCAGGGCCAGGAGAGCUUCGUUCCGCUGCUGAGCGAUGGGGACUUGGCGGCCGCCUUCGCCUGCGCCCGGCCCGCGCUGCGCCUGCGCCUCGACGUGCGGCCCCCGGCUGAGAGCCCGCUGCUGGAGGACUGGGACAUCAUCAGCCCCCGGGAGGUGGCGGCGGUGGAGCCGCUCCCUGAGCGCCGCUCGCUGCUGGCUGCGGCUCUGCCCUUCACCCAGGCCCUGCUGGCGCAGGUUGGCCGGACGCUGGCCCGGGCUCAGGCCGCCCUGGCAUGGCCUGAGGGGUCCCCCCCCCUCACCCCCGCUGCCGCCCCCCCCCUUGUGCCCCACUGAGCGAUGCCGACCUCCGCACGUACCUGGGCCCCGGCGGGCGGCUGCUGCGGCCCCACGACCUGCGGCUCCACGUCUACCACGGCGGCGUCGAGCCUGGCCUGCGCAAGGUGGUGUGGCGAUACCUGCUGAACGUCUUCCCGGCGGGGCUCUCGGGGCAGGAGCGCUUGGCUCACCUGCGCCACAAGGCGGGCGAGUACGCGGCGCUGAAGGCGGCGCUGGCGGCGCGGGCGGCCCCGGCCGAGCUGGCGCUGGUGGCGGCCGCCGUGCGCAAGGACGUGGUGCGCACCGACCGCGGGCACCCCUACUUCGGCGGCCCCGAGGAGGGACACCCGCACUUGGCCGCGCUGCAGGCGCUGCUCACCACCUUCGCGCUGGGCCACCCGC